GAUUGAUUCCUUCUUUUUUGUUGCUUUGUAAGAGUUCAUAUUAUGGAGGAACGACAGAGACUAUGAAUCAAUCAAUAGAUUUAAUUCUUCAAAUUAUUAAGAAACAAAGGAUCUGUUUUGUCAUUUCUACGAAUAUAAUAUUUUAAUUAUGUUUACUGGAUAACUUUCCAAUUUGUAUGUUAGGGAGUAGAUCAAAGUUUCGCUAUAUGGAGUAAGAACUCAGCGGGACCUCGAUGCCAACUUAUAAUUUAUUCAUACCUUAUUUUUGCGGCCGAGCCUGACCUAAAGCCAUCUCGCUUGACGGGCCUUGGGGUGGCCUGGGCCUAUUUCCUCCUAUAUGUACACCCAAUCAAAGAAGAUCUUUACAUGCAACCAUUAUAUAGGUGGUAGAUAAGUUCCUUGUUGCUGUAGGUGCACAAAACAUAAAAGGGAAAGAAAACCUCUUUUCCCAAGGGGAAAGGUAUAGGCUCCUGUUAUGAGUUGUAAAAUGGAAUAGUGUACAUUAGCUCUAACUUAAAGACUCCAUGACACAAGGUUAUGAAAAGUAGAAGAUGACUUCUUGAUGACUGAGAGAAAAAAUUUAGAAUUUGAGUUUGCCAUAAGUAAGCAUACCUAAAGUAUUCUUUAAUUUAACCUAAAUCCUAAAACCCUUAGAUUUACUUAGCUGAGCCUAUAAGUAAAUUAGGACUUUAAGGCACCAAUCCUACUCAAAGUCUAUAAGCAACCACAAAAAAGCUCUUUGAAUAUGUGCGAAGAUUAUAGUAAGAUAAUAAAGUUAAUAACCAGACCUGCUCUCCAAAUAACUUGUGUCCUGAAAUUGGUAUAAACUUCCCCUGGUUGUAUGGUUAAAACCUGGUCUUUCAAUGAUCAAAUAGUCAAUGCAACAAAUCAGGACCACAUUAGAUGGAAAAGUUAUUUAUUUCAUUAUAUUUGUUUUCCUUAUAGGUAUCUUAAUUACAUUCUUGAGGAAAAAGGGAAACUUAGCCAAUCAAGUGCUUUUGUUUCUUUUAUUUGCUCCAUAUAAGGGCACGAUGUUUUUAUAUAUCAGUCAAAAACAUGAAAUUGGCCAAUAUUGCUAUUGACUUUGGUGGAAUUCACUAGCUAGAAAAUGUUGAUAAGAAGCGAGAUUUUUAGUCAAAUUUGUUGCAUAGUCCCCCUUUCUGGUUAGAUCUUGAUGCUUGUCGUAAUUGUUCACUGUCUUCUUCCUGUGAUAUCUACUUCCUUAUUAUCAAUUCACAGCAGACAUAAGCUUCUAGGAUUUUGUCUCCUGUUACAUAUCACAUUAUUCAUCCCAAUAAAAAUAAUUGGUUGAUUGAAACUUGGUCUGUACAUGAAGUAUUUGUAGUAUCUUAUUAAUAUUUUCAGAGGCUUCCAUUUAAUCUAAGAAUGUUGUUGGUCAUUUCUUCAGGUUGUUGAUAUAUCUAGAGUGGAAUAUGAGCCCACUGACAAGGAUAUCCUCUAUGCUGAUGGAAUAACUUCAUCUAAUGGACUAGCAUGCACAGAUUUCUUUUCUUCACAAUUGGCUGCUGAUGGAAGCGGCAAUGAUGAUGCUGAUCAGCAGGACACAUUACUGAUAAGGUUGACACACUGUCUGCACUCGGUGAUUAUAAUAAUGCAUGCAGGAUAGAGUUAAAAUUUAUCAUUUGUUUAUGCGGAGAUUGGUUGAUUACUGUAGUUAGAUUUAUAGUGUGUUGAAAGACGUGCACACUGUGAAAGAAUAUCCUCAACCCCUUACUCAAAGCAUCAAGUACAUUAUUUACAAAUAAAACCAUCAGCUUUUCUUGUCUUGAGCAGCACAAGAGCCACUUGUUGUGCAAAUAGUUCGCGCUUAAGAGGAUUUGAUGGAAUCAUGUCAUUUCAUCAUCUCUAUCAAAAUUUUGACAUCUUAUCACAAAAACUGAGACCAAAAGUUUUCUAAAUGUGCAAUAAGCACACAUUUAACAUUUUUUUCUAUGAGAAGUUUACAAGGGAUUACACCUAUGUAUUCUAACUUUCUCCCCUAGCUGUAUCUAGUUUGAUGAGAAGUUUAAGCCCAUUUCUGAUGGAGAUCCACCAUUAUGUCUUGUUUAAUGACCUAGAUGGAUAGUUUCUUGCGAUUCAAUGGUGCAAAGUUGGCGACUUCAGGAGCUUGAGUUACAACACAUCAUUGAUUGCUCAUUAUUUAAUUUUGACUUUCAGAAUAUGCUAAAGCUUGAACCUUUGAAAUCUCUUUUUUUUUUACAGGUAUCAACUCAUCAGACUGCAUGCAAAAGGCCUUGGAGAGAACUGCAAGUGGCUGGAUAUGUUUGAUGAUGUCAGGCUUGUUAUCUUUUGUGUUGCCCUGAGUGACUAUGAUGAAUACUAUGAAGAUGCAAAUGGAGUGGCUAUAAACAAGAUGUUGGAGAGCAAGAGAUUCUUUGAGAGCGUCGUUGGUCAUCCAAGCUUCUAUCAGAUGGAUUUUCUUUUGAUACUCAACAAAUUUGAUCUGCUGGAGCAGAAGAUAGACAUGACCCCGCUUACCGUAUGCGAAUGGUUUGACGACUUCGAUCCAGUUGUAAGUCGUCAUCAUUACAGCAACAGCCGCAGCAUCAACAAUUGUGCCACCAUGGCGCAGCAUGCCUUUCACUACAUUGCUGUGAAAUUUAAGAAGCUAUUUUGUUCUCUUACUGGGCGAAAACUAUAUGUUACACUAGCAAACGGGUUGGACUCGGAUUCAGUAGAUGUAGCACUCCGAUAUGCAAGAGAGAUCAUUAAGUGGGAGGAUGAGAGGCUGGUGUUCAGCUCCAGUGAAUCAUUUUACAGCACCGAGCCGAGCUCGUAUUCUCCCUAAUGGUUGGAGUGGAAAACUGUGUAAGUAGAUCAGCUUUUUCAUUUUUUUUCCCCAGUAUUCCCUACACUGUACGUCUUUCAUGUGUGUAUACAUUAUUUGUAAUAGUGUAAUUAUUUAGAAAAGCUUCCACCUGCCCCUUGUGACCAUACGGGGAGAGCAUGGAGCGUCUUGACGGUUGUAAUAUGAGUACUUAAGUUGCCCAUCUCAGCAGAGUCCACACUAUGAGCAGCUUAAUGGACAUGGAUGGGUUAGAUGGCUCAUGCGAUUAUGUUGCAAAUGUGUCAAAUGAUCUCUCUUAGUGGGAUAAAAGCCUGUCAAAAAAAUUUUGUCCAGCGACAGCGUCUCCUAAGCUCGAGGCAGGAACGAUGAUGAAACCUCGCUUCCCUCUGGGAAUCAUUCAAACAAAUACUCAAAAUCCGAGCGGGCAUGGUGUCUAAUGUCAUGUGCUAAGCGGUUCUCUUUGGAAAAUCAGGCUUUAUUUUGGCUUGCCAUUGCAUUUGGAUUGCAAAACUAUUUUAGAACACCACGAUCGAGCAAGAUGUGUACUUACCACACAGGUAGCUCGGGUUUGGUCCUUAUUGUACCCAGAUCCAAAUUUAAAUACAAAUCCGAUGAAAUUUUAUAUCCAUAUCCAGUAUUGUAUCCAAGAAAUCAAGUACUAAAUAAGCUAUCGUGCUACAUAUUUUGGAGUAUUUUUAAAAAUUAUUUAAACGUACCAAAUAUGACAUCUCACAAGUUAUGGAACAUGAAAAAAGGAAUGUAAAAAAAUAAAAAGUAUAUUUUAAAUAUAUUCAAGUAUUACUUUUGUUAUUUAAGUAUCAGUACAAUCUAGAAAUAUGAGAAACGAAAAAAGAUUGUACACUACUGAGCUUAGUAUAAAUGCUAAAUCACAAUCUAUAACAAAUAUAUUGUAAAAAAGACUAUAACAAUUGAUAUGAUAGCAAUCUAAUCGAACAAGAUGGAUUACAGUUUUACUGCUCUUUUACUUGUUUUUGAUAGAUACCCAUAGAUAUAUAUGUAUUUAUAUAUACGAGUAUGAAUAUAAUUUGGUCCGUUUUUAGAUUUUUGGACACGGAUCUACCUGAACUAAACCCGGCCAUUUAUGGCUUCAACUUUAAUUUUUUAGAACCCAAACUCAACACAAUAAAAUAUUAGGCUUGUUUUUCAUACGCAUCCUAUAUUUUAGGUCUCUUCCGACUAGGUUAAUAGAUUGUUGGCAGCCAAUGGCAUGAAAGAUGAAUAACUGAGAGAAAUGUAAACCGUAUUCUCAUACUUGGUAAACCAAAAGAAAAGAUAGAAAGAGAAGGGGGAAAAGAGGAAAAAAUUAGUUCAAAAAAGUUAUAAGUAUUACCAUUGCAUUUACUGCAUCCCAUCUGAAAAUCUAAAAGAAGUAUCAUCACAUAAGCACAGGACAUGUGAUACUUAAUAAUUACCAUAUACCAGACUACCAGUAACAGCCAUCUAAUGCACAAUCCACGGUUAUCCGUUUCUUGAUAAUUGAUAUGGAACUAAUCAAUAAAAUGUUCAAGUAUUAGAUCCUCCAAAAUAGGCUGAUAAAACUUAAAAACAAAGCUGGAGAUUAGCUAGCAAAAGUUACUGUAAAUCUAAAAACCAUUUGCAAGCCUGCUCAGAGACAUGAACAAUUUUGUUUUCUUUUUUUCAUGCAGUACAAACAUAAAUGCAAAAUAAAAUUGGUAGUAACAACUGAUCGACAGAGACAUGGAAGAAAACCUUAGAACGUGGUAUAAAUAACAGAGACAUCGUAGAACUCGAGAGGAUCCCUUCUCUCAAGACCAAAUCCUCGGUUUCAUCCGGGCGCAAAACGAUCCAUCAGCAUGCACACGGUGGCGUCCGAGAGGAUCACUUCCCUCCUCUCCUUAGCUUCAGUUCCAUGCUGCUUUGCUAAAACAAGCUCUUCUUGUGGUUCGCCAUGUUCUCGCGCACAUCGACGACCGCCCGAUUCAACAUUACCACUAGACUCGACAUCUCCCUAUUCCUCUCUCUCGCUCUCUCUCCCUCUGAGUUGGCCUGUUUUAAUGCUUUCUUUGUGAAGAAUGCAAUGGAGGCUUCCCACUUGGGUGUAAGCUCGUUUUUGUACAAGCACUGUAUUAGUGGGAUAGAAGGAAACCGUAGGUUCGAGGAACCUGGGGAGUCGACAGUUUGGACCUGGAAGGCAAGGUAGUUGGUUGGCUAGAUUUUGUUUUGAGCGAGAUGGGUGGGUCCGGAUGGAACAGCGUCCUCUCGUUUGCUUCUGUCGUGAGCGACGAGAGACCACGCAACCCGAAGGCCUAGCGGGAGACGGCGGGAUUGCUUAGGAAUAUUCCGAGCCAGGAUUUUAGGCCAAACCCUUACCCGAGAUCUCUAUAUGAAUUCUAAACCAAAUCAACCAAAUCUUAGGGCUUAUGUUGUUUCCUCAUAGGCCCAGUUGCAGGAAUUCCGCAUAUGUGGGCUGUUUGGAUUGCUAGCCCACUUGCUGGGUUGAGCCCAAAGUCCAUGAAGUCUCUGAAAAGCCCAAAGUUCCAAUCUGCCAGGUUGAAUUCCUCAACCAUUCCCUCCUCCUCCCUGUUUUCCUUUUGAUUUUUAUAGAUUUUCUUCUUAGCCUUCUUCAAAGCUUUGCUUUCCAACCCUAACCCUAACCCUAACCUAAAGUGGAUCUCGAUGUCUCUAAUCCCGAUCCACCCCCUUCUUCCCUUCUACAUAUGUUCAGCACCACUUUAAUACUUGCAUUUUAUGCAUUGCCUUCUGUAUCGGAUUUUCAUGUGGUAAGGGUUUGGUAGGAGUGGAGUUCAAAAAUAUGGUAGUUUUGGAAGAUUAUCAAGAAAGCACCUGAUGGUAUCUCACUGUAAUGAUUAGAAUUUAGGUUGAUUUUGGCCUCUUAAAAUAGUUUUUAAAUUUUUAUUUGUCUAAUGUGUUCUAAAGAUUAUCCCCCCCCCCNNNNNNNNNNUUUUUUUGCAUUGCAAAACAUCUUUCAUUUAGCAAGCAAGUAGUGCUUAAACAAAUACAAGCUUGAAAAGAUGAGCUGAAAUGGUCCAACCAUGUGUAAGAUAUGGUAAAUUUGAGUUUAAAAAGUUAUCUAAGUUUGAAAAAGAUCCCAUAGGCUGUUUGGUUGGCACGUCUAUAAAAAAUGAGCUCAUAUCAGAUUUAAAAUCACUGAGUUUUAUAACAACUUUCUUCUAAUUGCUUUCCACUAAAAUUUUGCUAGAAAAUAAACCUGAAAAACAAGUUUUGUGAUAAAAUUGUUGUAUUUCUUCCUUAUUAUAAUUAACUUGACAAGGUGAGUAUCGUAGAGCUCUUAUACUACUUUGAACUAGUAGACAAGCAACUUGUUUGACACACAAAUUCUGCUCCAAACAUACCUAUGAAACCUUGUCCCCAUUACUAGCUAGCUUUCUAAGUCCUUAUUUGCUAAAUAAUUUCCAUGAAGGUUUACCAACAGUACUAUUGCAAGCUUUUUCAACUGAAGUGGAAUGAAUGCAGACAACUUAUAUCAUCUACUUAUGCCAUAUACCGUAAUCAUGUUUUAAACAUAAGUGAUACAUUUAUUUAUGAUUAAUGUAAGGAUAUGGACAUAUGCAAUCUUGAUGGCUCAUAACCAAGUAGGCAACCAUUGCAGAUUUAUAAGAAGCUUUAUAUAUCUGCAUAUCGAUAGAAAGCCACAAGAAAAGCAACUGUGCAAACUCUAGAUAUGGCACUUGUUAAGAAAGAAAUUUGUAGCCACAAGGUUUGUUUUUCAUUAGCUAUGAUAAUAUGCUUAUAUACGCUAUAAAAGGGAUCGGUAUCUCUACAUCAAAGUGAUCAAUAUCUUUACAUCAAAGAAAUUAUAUGGUCCGUAUAAAGAAAAUCUCUACAAAUAUGUACAUAGUUGGCAAAAUCGAGGAAUGAUUUCCAUCACUUGAGAUUAUAUAGCUCGUCGUAUCUGCCAAAUCCAAUUGCAUGGUUGGCUGAGAAAAUCAAGAAAUGAUUUUCAUCCGUGGGAUUGUAUAGCUGCCCAUAUUUGUCUAAUCUAAUGCCAAGAGAAGUAAUUAUGAUUACCAUCAAAUCAAGUAAUGAUUUCCAUCAACACUUUUGAGCCACUUUUGAAAGGCAUUAUAGUUUGGCUAGUGCAAAUUGGAACGGUCUCACUUACGUGCGAACUUAUAGUUUGGUUUAUAUGUUUGGCAUGGUCUAGAUAAUGUGAUUCUGCAUGGUUUGUCUUGGUUUGGAUUUUGAAAAUAAUAUGGCCUAUGCGGUUUGGUUUUGCUUGAUACCUAUGAUUUUUCUGAGGAUAUUGCCUGUACGAGACUGAAUGGUACGAUCCUACUUUAAAAUAGUGAUGCACUUAUCUGCAAGAUCUUAUAUGAUUAGUAUCUUUUCGUUGGAUGUUUUCAAACAGGUUUAGGAAAGCAGAUAUUGAUACAGGUACAGGCAAACUGUGGGUACCAUAACAAUGGACAGCCACAAGGGUUAGCACAUUAUGAGGGGAUCCAGGUUGAUUACUAAAUAAUGGGCAUUUAUCUCUAUAAUCUUCUUCCAGGUUGAUACUUAAUUUCUGUAUAAUCUUAUUAUAAUAUCAUGUUGCCUUUUUUUUUCCUGUAGCUUUGCAGUUCAGCAUGCUGGAUUUUAUAUCUGUAUGAUUGUCUGUGCGUGCUGUUUCUUAGGCUUCUGAUAGAGCAAGUGAUUAUUCAGUAUGUGAGAUUUUUAUUUCUUUUCUAAACAGGAAUUUGGCUAUCAAAUUUUUUUUUUUUAAGCUUUGAGAAUGAGGGGAUCCAACAAGCUUACCUUAUUAUUAGAGAAAGAGGAAAGAAUAGAAGAUAAUCUGUAAGACAACUCUAAUUUUUAACUGUAAAGCUAUAUAUUCUGCAAAAAUAUUUGAUUGUCCAUAAAAUUAUUCAAUUCUUGUGGUAGCAAUUUUAUAUUUUUUAAUAUGUAUAUAUAUGUUAAAGAAUAUAUAUAUAUUAUAUAUAUUAAUGAUAAUUUACAAUUAUAAACUUUGAUUAUAAAAAAUCUAAUUAUUUCUUAAGAAAUGGCCUUAUUUUUUCUUCUUAUUUAUCAUGUAUGAUUCGAUCAUUACAUACAGUAGCCAAGUCUGAAAUUAGUAUGUCUUUUUAUCUUUAAACUUUUGAUGCAGGAUCGAUGCUCAACUUGUGUCUGUCUUAACCUCAAAACAUAUAAAAUAUGGUUAAUUUUAUUGUGAAACAAGGUAUUAUUACAAAAAUUGAUAAAUAUAACCAACUAUCAUUAAGAAUUUCAUCUUUGCUCUAGUUUUUGUUGUUUUUGAUAUUGAGACAGUCCUUCCUUAUCGAUAGGCAAUGAGUUUUGGAUUUGAAUUGAUGUCGUUUCAUUGAUUCUUUCUAAAAAUUUUAUUUUAAUUAGAAUUUAGUUAUUCAUAAUGCAUGAUGAUCCCUUUUUAAGACUAAAUGGUUAAAACGCCCAACUCAUAAUUGGCACUUAAUGACUACCCUAUAAACUAAAAAAAAGAAAGGUCACACAAAUUGAUGUGAGAUGCCACAUUUCGAAGACUUUCUCUCUUCAACUGUUCCAGAGGAACGGUCUCGACAUUCGUUUCUGGGAGGAUGGUUAGAUUGAUUCUAUCAUCUCUCCAUUCUCUUUUUGCAAGCUUAUACGACAGGGCAAUGAAACAUAAUACCUCUGGGAGGAUGGUUUGAUUGAUUCAUAUCGGAUGGAGGCUCUGCAUGAGAUUGUUGCUCUGGUAAGAUUCUCACUGCUCGCCAAUGUUCCACUAUGGAAGUUAAUUCCCAAUGGCAUUUAUUCCGUUGAAUCUUAUUAUUCAUUCUUGAACAAUGGAGGCCUCGUUUUUUGUGGCUUGCAUUAAAAAACAAACUUCACACUGGGGAAGUUUUAGCCAAGAAACGUUGGAAUAUUUUUUUAGUACACCGGCUCCUCACACAGAACGCAUAUGAGUGCAGCCAAAACAAUUAAUGCCAGGGGUGCUGCUUAUGUGGUAAUAGCUCUGAAUCAGUUAAUCACUUGUUCAUAAGGUGCCCAUUUACAAAAAGCAUCUGGUCCACUAUCAAAAUGCAAUUGAAAUUGAGGGACUGGCCGGCAACUCUUCAUGAUCUAUGAACCCAAUGAAGAGCCAAAAAAUCGUCAACUAUUGAUCAGAAGAGCAGAUGAUCAGCUUCUUGCAGUCAUUUGUUAGAAAAUUCGGCAAGAACGAAAUGCGAGGAUCUUUCUCAGAAUGAAUCAUUCCAUUCAUGCAACACUUCAAAAGGCACUAAACACAUAGCAUAAUUGGGAGUGUCUCUUGCAUCCAAAAAAAUAAAGGAGAAGCAUCAGCAACUUUGGAGGAGUCUUGGCAACCAUCUAUGCAACUGAUUUCUUAUUCUCUCUCUCUUCUCCCCUGUAAAUUCUGCUCCUCCUUCAGUUUGUAAAUAUCUUUUCUGAUCUAAUAACAUCUGGGGGAAGCUGCCGGCUACCUCCAUUCACAUCACGACAACAACAAAGUAAAAAAACCACUACUGUUCCUGAGUGCAAGAGCUAUUGCUCAGCCAUAUAUCACCAGAGACAUGUAACGGAUUUUAGCUAUCUCAUCAUGAUUUCUCGUUCUUUAGGAUAAGAAAGUUGCUGAUUCAUGCAUCAAUAAUUCUCUGGAAAGAUGCAAAAAGCUAUUGUUUCGGACAAUCCUACACCACCAGUCUUCUGGUGUAAGUGCUUGUCCCAUCAAGUUGGACGGUAAGAUGUAAAGGAAAUCUAUGUGAGCCCGGAAAGUAGAUGCUUGCGUCCAAAUAUAUUGUUCCAUGCGAGAAAAAAAGAGUUAAGUGUACUGGUUUGUGUCCUUUUUUCGCCUGUCCUCGCCAAUUUGUUUUGAGUUGUUGUUGUAUCUACGACCGUGAACAAAGAUGGCUGUAAUGGUGGGAUGCUAUGAUCGACCUGGGAAAACAUGGCCAAGCCACUGAAAGACUUUAGCUAAAAGCUUGGAAGGACAAGGGAUCUAUAGGCUGCAUGGUGACGCGAGACCGGGGAGCGUAGUGUGUUGGUGUAUAUGAGCCCGUCAAUUGAUCAUUUACCAUUCUUAUAUAACCACCGUCAAUUGAUUAUUUACUAUUUUUGUAUGACCACCGUCAAUUAUAAAUAGGUGAGCUCUCUUAUACUUAUUGGAAUACACAGAAAUAUUCUCAAAAUUCUUCUCUCCUUUCUCUACUACGUUUUUAACAUGGUGGACUCCCAUCCACUCAGUUGAGACAAGAUCGACGUGACCCUUCACAAGGAGAAAUUAUAUCCUACACAGUGCACUCAGUUGCCGAUUACAGCUGCUCUUUUCUAUAAACUCCAUUCAUCAAGCGCUUAUCUAGAUAUGCUACUAUAAAAAUAAACAGCUAUAAUUGGAGGCAUGCACGGCCGCAUAGUGCAUGCCCUAUAGGAUAUAAUUUUUCUUUAAAAAGUGACGAAAAUUGCCAACUUUUAGUUGGAGAAAUUAUACCCUAAACCAGCAUAUAUGCACCAUACGGCCAAGCGUAAUGCUAAUUCCCUCAUCUUAUUUUUAUGGACCCCAUUCAUCAUCGACUCAUCAUGAUGAUUGGCCCACAGGAACGAGAUAGGGUUAUUAGCAUGGUGCAUGGCUACAUUGGUGCACACGGUGCAAGAUAUAAUCUUUCGAUUGGUUUUGCACAAAAUAUGUGUAGAUAUGAAGCAAUACGUAUGAGUUGAAAUUCUAAUUUUAUCUCCAGAUGUGUUGACCAACGUAACUAUAAUUUUUUGCCAUUAUUUCAAUGAAACAUAUGCGUGUUUUACUAUAUUUUCAAUUGUUGAGAGUGAAGAAUUCUUGCAGAAACUAUUCAAGCGUUCAAAUUUCCAUCACCAUAAUCAUCUUUGACAUGAAAAAUAAUUGAUGUAAAGAGCAACAUGUAAGCGGAGCAAAUUUUGUGAUGGAUGUGCUGAACACUCCAAUUAAUUGUGUUUUCCCUGUGCGACAGCGAUAUGCCAAGCACCUCAUGAGUUCAAGAUUGCAUAUUAAUUUGGAGGUAAAUCUUUGAACAGAUGCAAAAUAAAAUAUUUACUUAAGUGGAAAUGAAUUGAGUAUGAUGAUAAAAAAUCUUGCUUGCACCCGUGUCAUGAAGUAGGGCACGAAGGGUAUUUACAUUGCUAUGUGAAAGGGUGUAACAUCCAUUAUAGGUGUCAACAUUAUUAAUUACUUCUCCACGCAUCAAAAUUCCAAAAGGAUAUAUAUAUAGACGGUCCAAAGGCCUUCAAAAAAGUCCUCUAAUAUAUAGUACUCUAAUAUCACUCUCUUCAAUUAAGGAUCCUUCAUCUAUAUUGAUGUAGAGAAAUAAUGGCCAUAAUGUAUAUGCCAUGAAGAUGGCAUCACAUAGUAGGGAAUAAGGGAUGGUGAAUUCAAGAGGCUUUUCCUUUUCAGAUGCUGCAUUAAUAGCUCAAUUCCCUGUUAUUUUUAUCAUAUACAUUGUUAUAUGAGGUUAAUGAUUUAUCAUUUUCGUAUUUCUAAAUUUUUAAAUUUUUAUUUUUUUCAAUAUAUAUAGGUUUCCAAUUAAUACUUCUAGUAGUACUAGUAUAACAACUCAGGAUCUCAUCCAAAAAAACUUGUCGAAAGAUAUUAUUUGGGUUACUUAAUCAUAUAUAAGCACCUAAUAUCUACUCAGCGAAUAAUCGAUGUGGGAUUAAACACACGUCUGUAGUCCUCGUCAGGCUAAGAGUUCAAAUCCAUUUAAAUCUAAUCGCAAGUAUCACAAUAGACUCAUGGUCAGCCUCAAUAAAUUUGUAUUGCAGUGUUUCCUAGUCCACAUAGGUUAUGGGUCGGAUCUGCUCUGAUACCAUUUGUAACAGUCCACAAUCUCACCCAAAAAGACUAGCCGGAAGGUAUUAUUUGAAUUCAUUAUUCAUGUAUAAGUAUCCAAGAUCUACCGAGCGAAUAACCGAUGUGGAACUAAACAUACGUCCGUACGGAUCCUCAUAGCUAGAGAUAAUGAUCAUGUUGAUGAUAGCACCGACUAUUUUUUGAAGUUCAAGUAUCAUGCACAUAUUUAUGUUUUUGGAGUUUUUAAAAUUUUGGUGGAUAUUUAUAUUUGAUAUUAUGUACAUAUAAACCAUGCCGUUAUUGUUAUAUACGUUUUCCUAUAAGUUUAGUAUAUACAUAUUAUAUAUAAUAUGGCGAUGUUUUAAAGCGUAAAAAGUUAGACAAACUAAUGAUGCUUUCUUCCAUCAUCAUUUCAACCGCAGCGUAAAAGGCUUUUGGAAGCUUUCAGAAAGCGUCGUGAGCCCGCAACGCACCAAAAUAUUGUUCUUCAUGCUGUGCGGCAGCUUACAAAGCUUGUAUACCUUGCGUUGCUGUCGGCGGAGAAGAAGAUGAUGAGAUUUUCCAUGCUUGCAUUGCCGACAUCCAUACGAUGCUUUGGGAAACGUUGGCACGGAAAUUUGUAACGCACCUUCAUGCCGGCAAAAUGAUUUGCAAAACAUCACCUUUGACCCCUUUUCCUACUGUAGUGCACUGAAGACGGAACGGUAUCCCAUGGCAGGGAAAAGGAACAGUGACUUUAGGUGCUUUCUUCUUCUCUGGCUCUGCAUCAAUGGCUCAAUCCCCUGUCAACUGACCGUCCUAUGAUGCGAGCUUGAUUGGCCCACACACUAUUAGCCCGCAUGAGUCCACAAGGGCCAAUGCACAGGCUUGCUUGUAUCACCAUGGGUGAUUUCCAUGACCAUGGAAAACCUGUGCUUCUACCACUUGCAAGCGUCUUUAAUUUGGAAUUGUACUAUAACAACUGCUACAAAUUCCAUUUGUCGAUCUAAUACGAUAGUUAGGAAUGAAUGCAAUGCAUAGGGAUAGAUGGUAUCAGGUACAGUUCAGUCAUUCUUCCAGUGCCACAUUAAUAUUUAAUUGGAUUGCACCAAUAUCCACUUGCCGCAUCAGUUUGAGAACAAAUUUGAUAUAGUUUUUGGAGGUGCGUACAGCAACCCACCCAGCCAAAAAUUCUGGUACUGUCCUUCUGUCAAAACCUAUAGUAGAGCAGAGGGGCAUGGACCAGCCUGAGGAGCGUUCACGCCUGGAUCCUUUUCGGCGAGCUUGGCGUUGUAAGUUUUCAGCAUGCAGUGAUGAUGGUAAGAACUCCAUCAAAUCAAGUUGAAACUUUAAAGAAGGUGGAUGGCCAGUAGGUGACAGAUUGGUUAGAGACCCCAGUGACUGAUACCAACAUCAUCAUCACCAUGAAUGGCAGAGACUGCCACCCACCCCAGAAGCCAGUCUGAAUCUAUUCAUGAGGUAAUGGCGUAAAGGAUUUUUUUCCCCUUUUUUCCCCCUUGAGGACAAAAGAUAAUGUGGCAUAAAUUAAGGUAAUGUCAAUAUCUUUUUUUCAAAAAGAUAAUGACUUUUUCUCUCUUUUUUUUGGUGCGGGUACAGAAGCAGUUGGUCCCAACAACUACAGUCUAUAUAUGCAACCAAAAAAAAAAAAACAAGUGAAUCAAAGUGAAUAACUCGGACAAAUCCAGUGGGAAUCUAGACUCCCGUAUGAGAAUAUUUGUUGUACAUGUUUCAAAAUUGGCAGUCCAGUAGACUGCCAUAUCUUUUCAUGUAGAUGAUGUAAUACAUGGACCUCCUGAUAUUGUCCAAGGAAGCCUUAAUGUGUUGAAGACUGACCAUAUAUUCUUUCAUGAAGAGUAAACUAUACAUGCCCAAUUUGAUCACCAAAGAGAGAGAGAGAGAGAGAGAAGAAAGAAACAUGCCAAAGAAUCUUGAUCAGCAAAAAAGUGUAAUUCAACACCAUCUGCAUUUUCACAAACACAUUCAGCAACAAGCACUAUUUUUAGUAGUUAAUAAUUUAGUGUUUAUGAAAAUGGAAAUUGUUUUUUUUUUCUUGUUUGGUAAUAUAUAUGCAAAUGUUCUUGAAUCGCACUUCUUUUUUUUUUGUUGAUAAACAAGGUUCUUCAAACAAUCUCAUAAGUAUAACAUCUACUACUAGAUUCCGGCUGGUUUUUAAAUCCUCGUUCACCAAUAAUGCCUGUUGAGGGCUAACUUAUCAAAUUAGGAUUCAUUUCAUAGUUUGAUGUGCUUUUUUUCAACUAGUUGAACUAAUUCAGGCAUUACAUGGAGAAUGCCACCAUACCAAAAAAUAAAUAAUGAACAAAUAAAGGCCAUCCUCGUCUGCUGAACCUGAGUUAUAUGAGAUAAUUAGCAAGGUAACUUUGUAGCAUUAUCACAUGCAUGGUCACUUGCGCACCCAAAAAAAAACAAAAAAGGCACUGUGUAGCGCAUGCUGAAGGCUGUCGACCUUGGGGUUUUCUGAAGUAAUGAUGUGCUUAGAUCUUUGGCUGAUUAAACUCUAUGAUUUCAAGUUAGCUCAGAACCAAGCUUAUUGUGUAAUUCGAGUGGGAAAUCCAAACAUGAAAAGCCCAUGAUCAAUAGGGUGCUAUUCUUUUGAACUUACAGUCCAUUUUCCGAAUCAGACAGUAUAAUAUAUGCAGGUUAAUUGAGAGUUGAUGGGAUGAUUUUCUUGUUCCAAAGCAAAACUUACAACAAACCACACUUCUCCCUCAAGUUUAGAAGGAUUUGAUUUUUUUUUUGGUCUUUUCAAACUUCACAAACGCUUAUGAAGGGUCAGUUCCUUCGAUGAUUCGACACAUUCAAUUUGCCAACUUUGUCUUCCUAAGGUGAUUUCUAGGUUCGGUAGCUUAUGGAACAUGUUGGCAUCAGUCUGCAGAGAUGGCGAAAAGCUUGUCCUCAGGUUUGUUCCCCCUUGGCCUCCCCUUGGAGAUAGAUGGAGGGCUUCUCCUACCUCCACCACUGCCUAUUCAAACAGCACAAAAGAAAAAAAGGAAAAUACGAUCAGUCUAAUGCAUAACGUAAUUAAAACAGAAUGAAAUGAUGGAUAAUAAGGGAUUGAUCCAGUAAGUGCAUCAAGCAAUGUGGAUUUAAUUUCUAUGAAUUGUUAUGCUAAUGAAGUUUUCAAUGAAGCUUAUGAUCGAAUUUUGUUCAAAUUGCAUUUACACAUAAUCCAUUUUAUAUUUAGAACAAAAAAAAUUCAUGCAAGGAUACAUAAUUUAUAUGUGUGAAUUUUUUUGACAUUUAUUUUUUAGUUGCUGCAAAAUGUUUGGUCUCUCCUUCCUGGAGGGUUAUUGUUUCUUGUUUACAUUUCGUAAAUAGAAACAGGAAGAAAAAAAGUACAUAAUUCAUUAAUUUAUGUGCGUCCCAUCCAAGUCAGAACAGUAAUAUUGAAUUUAUUCUGGGGUUGAGGACCAGGCAUUUACUGUUGCAGAAUGACAUUACCAAAAGUUGGGUCCCCAUGUUAUAUUGCACACAUGAGAAUAAAAAUUUCUAUAGACCGCAGGCAACAUGCACAGGGAAAUGAGACACUUGAAUGUUAUAUCUUUCAUGAGCAAACUAGAUCAAGAUGUCCUUGAGGGACAAAGUUGAUACCUGCACAGAAAUUAACUUCUGUGCGUACUCCCUGGUGAUAGCAUUAUCCAAGUGAUUGAAAAAUUAUUGGAGCCAAUUUCUCUCGACUAAACAAAAGGUAGCACCUAAAAUUGAAAAAUGGAAAAUUUUAUGGUAGACAUAUACCUGAUUUUCUUUGUUUAAAAAAUUAUCACAUUUGAGGUAGCAGUGUGACAUCUCAUUUUGCUGCAUCGCUGCAUUCCAAGUGUUCUCCUCCGUGGAUGCAUAUGGUCCUCUGGAAAUAAAACGGAGCUUGGUGUUAGCUAGGGAGUUAAGACUAGAAAAGUUUUCUUUCAGAGGCUCUUAUAGAUUACAGAUGCAUGUGGUGCUCAAUGCUCAUAGCCUGUGGAGUGUGGACUAAAACAAGUUGUUGCAUCUGAGUAUAUCCAAUAGAUUAAUAAGAUAGAAUUAAAAGGGUUAGGAAAUUCACAAAGACAAAAAUAGGGAGGGAUCAUCAGUCUAAAGAGACAUCAAUGACUGCAGUGUGUGUGCAUAUUCUGGGUAUUGCUUAAGCUUGAAGACAUUAGGGACAGUUUCAUUUUGUAUGUUCCCUGUCUUCUCUGAAUGUUUGCAGUUGAUAGCCAUCAUGGUGCAAUCCAAAUGGGACACGGACAAACUGCCAACCCAUCGACAACUUUUUAAUGAGAAUUAAAUCCCUCCAGCCAUCAUUAUUCCUGUUGGGCUUCUCGGAUAAGUUAAAAUUAUGUUCAUGUCCUUCAUGUCCUAGGUUCUAUCUUCAUUUGGCCCAGGAGCACAAAUAUAAAGCGUAACAUGAAUUUUUAACGUUCUGGUCACAAUACAUGCACAGAGAGAAAAAGAGUUCUCCAUGCACUGGAACCGUAUUCUACAACCACUAGUGCAGCAGAAAUACCAAUGGCUAAUACAUAUUGCUAACAGCUCCACAUUGAGAGCAACAAUAUUUUGGCAAAGAAGAAUAUAUUCCAGUUUAAUCUUCGAAGGUUUCAGAACAGAAAUUACACUUUUUAUUCAGCUGAUAUAUAAAGUAAUAUGAUAUACGGACAACGAGCAUGUUUGUUUCUCCAAUAAUAUGACUUACUUAUUAUCCCAUGCUACUAUUUAUACUUGUUUUCUUGACUCAAACAAAUAAAAAGCAGUAUAAAAUCAUAGAAUAUGUCAUAUAUGAACGCUAAUAAAAUUAACGACCAUGAAGACUCCCAUUCAACUUUUCUUUCUAGAAUAAUAAGCAUAAGAAUCUAAAUUGUAUCUCAUUAAGAACAAAUAUUAACUUUUAAUGAAGACCCCGAGACCAUUCCAUGAUCUUGAUGGUAAGUGAUAACCUGCAGAUUUAGAUGUUUAAUUUGCGGCAUUUUGGUAUAUGUAAAUCCUCGUAGCAUAGUAAGAGAAGAAUCCUGUUUUGCCUCCUCUAAAUCUUCUGGAAACUUCUUGAAAAACAUUUUACCCUCCAUUUGUAAGGUGAUCCCUUCACUCUCAUGGAACAUGCUAUGUGUGAGAAUAUUUUCUUAAUAACAGAUAUCUCACUUUUUUCUUAAGAUAUUAAAAAAAAAACUCUUGAUGUUUGUAGACUGACUUAGAUCAUAUUUAUAUUCCAAGACAUUAAAUAGCAAGCAGUUAGCAGAUGAUGAAGAACAUGUAAUCCUUUUAUUCCUUCAACCAUAUUCUCUGCCUAAGGUUAUGACAAAGCUGGAUUACCAGUCAAAUCUCACAACAGGAAUUAACUAUGUUGGUCAAAUUUCUCAAAAUAAUCUUAAAUACCUCUCACAAAGCAGUUCCCUUUCAGAACCAUUUGUGAGAGUGACAGAUACCAUUCUUAAUAAACAUCUAUAAAUAUUUAAAAGCGAUCUCUACGGCUGCAAGACUAAACACCAGAUGGAGAUCAAAUAAAGAAACACAUGCAACCCUUCUCUUAUCUUAUUUAACCAUCCCAAUCUCAAUAUAUUGGCCACCUGGGCCCCUAGUCUAUAUAUCUGACCAAAGCCAUUAACAGUGGAAGUCAAAUUCCAGAACUUGCAAUUAUUAAAUGGUCUCUACCCCAGGCCAACUGAUAGAACCAACCAAAUACAACCAAAAACCUAGAUAAAUAAUCUAAAACUCACAUCCACACUGCGUUCAUCAGCGCCGGUGCUUAAAAAAAAAAGACUAUCUUAACGUAUAGCCACCACCAUGCUAACUAAACUAAUUAACCAAAAUAUUCCAUAGAAAUGGCAUAUGGAUUGAGCAUUCCCACAUGGAAGACCGCAUGUAUGAAUGCUGAUCGAAUGGCUGUGAUUCGAUGCCUCAUGUGGUGACUAUUGGUGCCUGCCCAGCCCAUGUUGUACCAUUUUCUUUUUUUUCUUUGUUAACUUUUAUGAAUUUCUUUUGAUAGAGGUUGUUGUAGGGGAGAAGGAGAGGAAGUGGACAGACCUAGGGGAUUUGGGUAGUGGCGUUGGUGGGGUUGGUGCACUGAGGGAAUAGAAAGGGCUGAUCCCAGCUCUGUCGCAUGAUAGUCCUCCCUCCACUUCCCCCAUUCCUCCUGUCCUCUGGUUCAUGCCCAUGUCUGUCUGGCCUCGGCCUGCAAACAAUUCAUCCACCACUAAGAUCCAAAUGGCCGUGCUUUAUGGGACAACAAACUAAUAAUUCAAGCAAGGAAAGGCCAGCCCAAUCCCAGCUUCUGAUGGCAGUGAGGUGACUGGGUGAUGGCAUCUGCCCUCCUUAGACUACCAAAGAACAAAUGGCAUGUAAAGGGACUAUUUGAGGGAGGGAAAAUCCAAAUACCUGCCCCUCUGUCGGUGCUCUUCACUGUUCUAUACAUCUGCAACAACACCCGCAGGAAAGUCAUUAAACAUAAUAAAGCAAAGAAAGAAAAGGAUCGAAGAGAAAAAUCCACUAUGCUCAGAUUACUCCAUAGAUGCCAUGAUGUCCUUAGUACUUGUAUGCUGCAGCACCCCAUCACAAAACCCUAACCCUAGCUAGCUAGCAGGAAAGUGCUCAUAAUAACAACAGCGGCAGCAACAAUGGAGAAAAGCAUCACGCACAAUUUUGGUUACUUCUUAUCUCAGAAAAGAGGUCCCUUUUCCUUUCUCUUCCUACCUGAAGGUGGCUUUUCACAUGAGCCAGUGUUAAAUCCUUCACAUUCAUCAGCUCCAAAACCGACUUUGGCGUGGCCCCUACCCACAUGGAUUUAUAGAAUUAUCUCAGUGUGAGAAGCAAUCAUGAUGAGAAAAUCGUAGUUAUAUAACACUUAGAACGUCUAAUGAUACAAAGACAGGAAGGUACGAGGAAGCUUCUAAGGGAGAGACAUGCUUACUCUCAUGACCACCAAGGAGCUCGACGGCGUGCACAAAAUGGGAGUGGAGGGUGCUGGUCCACCUCAUCCUUGGAGCCCUAAUGCUUCUCUUUCCUCCAUGAAGUUUCCGCUUGAAUCCGUAGAUCUGAGGAUGGUGGGAGUGAUGGUGGUGGUGGUGGUGAAGGUUGUGGUAGAGUUGGUGGUGCAGCGGAUCCGACGCAGCCGUCUUGAACCCAAGGCUCAGCGUUGGCUCGCCAUGGCCAGGAUCCUGGACCCCCUCUGAGUGCAAGAAACCUUGGUCAUGACUCAUAUCGCUCCCGCUGCUCCCGGAGUCUGACAUCGAAUUAUAGUCCCAGAAGAAAGCCCUCCUCAUGGAUUCAUUAAUGGAUAUCGCCGGCGGGCUGAUCUGGAGGGAAAGAUCGGGGAAGGCCGUGAAGCCGGAGGCCGUUGAUGUGGUUCCUGUUGUCAUUUAUCUAAGCUCAAGGAAAAAGCAAACAAAUGGGGGAGGCCAAGGUAAAGUCCGUGCAAGAAGGUAUCCGAGAGAAUGGAGGUUUGGUGAAGGGGGUAUGGCAAAAGUAGAAGGGUUGGGAGAGCAGGAAAAAGGAAAGGAAAUAGUGGAGUGAAACAGUGAGAGAAAGAGAAAGGUGGUGGGAAAGGAAGGGAACUCAUGAAAAGGAAAGCGGGUGGGGGAUUGGGUAAAUAGAUGUGUUAGUGAUUAGAUCAUAAGUGCCUUAUGAUUUCUAUAGUUUAGAGAGUAUGAAAGAGGCUAUAGAGAGAAGGAGAGAGAAAGAGAAAAGGUUCAGUAGUAGUGAUGAGCUAAUAGCAAGGGUAUAGGGUCUCUAGGCUAAUUUAUACUGCCACAAAAGGGCAGUGAGAUGUGAGGGAAUUGCAAGGCCUCCAAGAUGGAAAGAACUGGACAGAGACUGAUAGAAAAGGAGAGGGUACAUAUACNNNNNNNNNNNNNNNNNUACAUAUACUUUUUUUUUUGCGCUAAGGAUGUACAUAUACUCCUUUCAAGUAAUUAAUCCAUCCGUCCUAUAAAAAAUUAAAAGAGAGAGAGAGAGAGAGGAGUCUAUUUUGAGAAAGCAGAAGUAUAAUACCUAGAGAAUGAGAAUGGGGGAUACUUUUCCCCCUUUAUGUGAAAUGGGAGCGAAGGUCUUGGAAUGUGAGAAAUUUCAGAAAAAACUAGAAGAUUGGGACCUAAUUUCCCCACUACGACUGUAGGUGCGCCUGAAUGAGAAUCGGAUGCGAGAAUAGAGAAACGACCAUGGGAAACGCUUGCUUGUAUGAAUUGCAAGGGAACUGGUUUGAGCCAUGAGGCUUGUGCUUGGGUGAACUAUUAAGGCAUAAGAUAAUGAGAUAGGAACUGUAGCAAUUGUAAUGGUCCCCUCUUAUACGCCAAACUGCAUUUAGUGGAAGAAAUCAUGAACUUUGACUGAAAUCUAUU
Molecule: long non-coding RNA, 19876 nt
Filed under: Phoenix dactylifera (date palm)
Lineage: Eukaryota; Viridiplantae; Streptophyta; Magnoliopsida; Arecales; Arecaceae
Description: long non-coding RNA (PDAC_LNC006496)
Source: RNAcentral